Molecule: non-coding RNA, 92 nt
Organism: Mycena vulgaris
Lineage: Eukaryota; Fungi; Basidiomycota; Agaricomycetes; Agaricales; Mycenaceae
Source: the annotation of a GenBank genome assembly
UCGGACGUGGUGUACGGAACACCCUCGCUUUCAAUAGAUAAAAUUUAUAUUUGUACAAGCGAGUCACUGGGGUUCGACUCCCCGCGUCUGAC